RNAcentral lists this ribosomal RNA (430 nucleotides) under bacterium. Its description in RNAcentral is "partial 16S ribosomal RNA". It matches the Rfam family "Bacterial small subunit ribosomal RNA", at positions 355 to 776 of the family's 1533-position model. The record is from RNAcentral.
UGGGGAAUAUUGGACAAUGGGCGCAAGCCUGAUCCAGCCAUGCCGCGUGUGUGAAGAAGGCCUUUUGGUUGUAAAGCACUUUAAGCGAGGAGGAGGCUACUUGGAUUAAUACUCUAGGAUAGUGGACGUUACUCGCAGAAUAAGCACCGGCUAACUCUGUGCCAGCAGCCGCGGUAAUACAGAGGGUGCGAGCGUUAAUCGGAUUUACUGGGCGUAAAGCGUGCGUAGGCGGCUUUUUAAGUCGGAUGUGAAAUCCCUGAGCUUAACUUAGGAAUUGCAUUCGAUACUGGGAAGCUAGAGUAUGGGAGAGGAUGGUAGAAUUACAGGUGUAGCGGUGAAAUGCGUAGAGAUCUGGAGGAAUACCGAUGGCGAAGGCAGCCAUCUGUCCUAAUACUGACGCUGAGGUACGAAAGCAUGGGGAGCGAACAGG